GUCCAGCCAUCAACACAUUUGUGAAGGAAUUUUUACUCCCCAAAAGAGCGCCCCCCCAUGGCAGGAGAAAAAAGUCCAUUUUUUCUUGUCCCCUAAGGUGAAAAUACACAUUGUUGAGUGUCACGCCUCUACACUUUGUCAAAAUGACACAAAAUUUGGCACACAGGUGUGUCUCAAUAAGAUCUACAAAAAAGUCAAUGCGGGCGUAUCUGUCAAAUGUACGGUUAAAGGGCUAUUUCGCAUUUUUUGGCGAUCCGUACGCAUUGGAAUUUCGCUAACUCCUCCGAAGGCUUUUAUUCCACCGGCACCACAUUUGCUCAGGCCAAUCUACACCCCAUGGCCAUUAAAAGUUAUUCAAAUCAUGACGCUGCACCCCACGGUUUAGGUUCUAGGGGGCGCCAAAGAUAACCCGAAAAUCCACAUAUUUAAAAGUCUUAUAACUUUUUAUUUUUGUCCUCACUGGCCUCCAAGUUUUCUAGGAUGAUGCAAUGUCCAGCCAUCAACACAUUUGUGAAGGAAUUUUUACUCCCCAAAAGAGCGCCCCCCAUGGCAGGAGAAAAAAGUCCAUUUUUUCUUGUCCCCUAAGGUGAAAAUACACAUUGUUCAGUGUCACGCCUCUACACUUUGUCAAAAUGACACAAAAUUUGGCACACAGGUGUAUCUCAAUAAUAUCUACGAAAAAGUCAAUGCGGGCGUAUCUGUCAAAUGUACGGUUAAAGGGCUAUUUCGCAUUUUUUGGCGAUCCGUACACAUUGGAAUUUCGCUAACUCCUCCGAAGGCUUUUGUUCCACCGGCACCACAUUUGCUCAGGCCAAUCUACACCCCAUGGCCAUUAAAAGUUAUUCAAAUCAUGAUGCUGCACCCCACGGUUUAGGUUCUAGGGGGCGCCAAAGAUAACCCUAAAAUCCACAUAUUUAAAAGUCUUAUAACUUUUUAUUUUUGUCCUCACUGGCCUCCAAGUUUUCUAGGAUGAUGCAAUGUCCAGCCAUCAACACAUUUGUGAAGGAAUUUUUACUCCCUAAAAGAGUGCCCCCCCAUGGCAGGAGAAAAAGUCAAGUUUUUCCUGCCCAUCGCUCAACGGCUCAAACACAUCGCUCUCUCGGCAAAACCGAAAGGAGGAGAAACUUGCCAUUUGGAUAUAUCCUAGCUGUGUUUGUGCCCUCACUCAUGGUCCAGACUUUUUUCAAAUAGGACAUGUAGUUUGUCUGCAGCGAGCGUUUUGGUAGAAACUGCGCCUCCCAUUCAUUAUAAUGGUAAAUGACCACAGACAAGUGUGCACACCAUCUUUGGACCUUGAGUGUGACGCGAUCGGGAGGGAGAGGC
This is a non-coding RNA of Xyrichtys novacula (pearly razorfish), 1323 nucleotides long. Lineage: Eukaryota; Metazoa; Chordata; Actinopteri; Labriformes; Labridae. The record is from the annotation of a GenBank genome assembly.